CAGUCGCCGCGGGAAUACGAAGGGGGCUAGCGUUGCUCGGAAUUACUGGGCGUAAAGGGCGCGUAGGCGGCGCUCCAAGUUAGGCGUGAAAUUCCCGGGCUCAACCUGGGGACUGCGCUUAAGACUGGAGUGCUUGAGGAUGGAAGAGGGUUGUGGAAUUCCCAGUGUAGAGGUGAAAUUCGUAGAUAUUGGGAAGAACACCGGUGGCGAAGGCGGCAACCUGGUCCAUUACUGACGCUGAGGCGCGAUAGCGUGGGGAGCAAACAGGAUUAGAUACCCGAGUAGUCCCUGUCUCUUAUAA
RNAcentral lists this ribosomal RNA (301 nucleotides) under uncultured bacterium. Its description in RNAcentral is "partial 16S ribosomal RNA". It matches the Rfam family "Bacterial small subunit ribosomal RNA", at positions 509 to 809 of the family's 1533-position model. The record is from RNAcentral.